UUAGCGGCGGACGGGUGAGUAAUGCUUAGGAAUCUGCCUAUUAGUGGGGGACAACAUUCCGAAAGGAAUGCUAAUACCGCAUACGCCCUACGGGGGAAAGCAGGGGAUCUUCGGACCUUGCGCUAAUAGAUGAGCCUAAGUCGGAUUAGCUAGUUGGUGGGGUAAAGGCCUACCAAGGCGACGAUCUGUAGCGGGUCUGAGAGGAUGAUCCGCCACACUGGGACUGAGACACGGCCCAGACUCCUACGGGAGGCAGCAGUGGGGAAUAUUGGACAAUGGGCGGAAGCCUGAUCCAGCCAUGCCGCGUGUGUGAAGAAGGCCUUUUGGUUGUAAAGCACUUUAAGCGAGGAGGAGGCUACUUAGAUUAAUACUCUAGGAUAGUGGACGUUACUCGCAGAAUAAGCACCGGCUAACUCUGUGCCAGCAGCCGCGGUAAUACAGAGGGUGCGAGCGUUAAUCGGAUUUACUGGGCGUAAAGCGUGCGUAGGCGGCUGAUUAAGUCGGAUGUGAAAUCCCUGAGCUUAACUUAGGAAUUGCAUUCGAUACUGGUCAGCUAGAGUAUGGGAGAGGAUGGUAGAAUUCCAGGUGUAGCGGUGAAAUGCGUAGAGAUCUGGAGGAAUACCGAUGGCGAAGGCAGCCAUCUGGCCUAAUACUGACGCUGAGGUACGAAAGCAUGGGGAGCAAACAGGAUUAGAUACCCUGGUAGUCCAUGCCGUAAACGA
RNAcentral lists this ribosomal RNA (722 nucleotides) under Acinetobacter sp. RNAcentral describes it as "bacterial SSU rRNA". It matches the Rfam family "Bacterial small subunit ribosomal RNA", at positions 92 to 809 of the family's 1533-position model. The record is from RNAcentral. Lineage: Bacteria; Pseudomonadati; Pseudomonadota; Gammaproteobacteria; Moraxellales; Moraxellaceae.